AACGAACGCUGGCGGCAUGCCUAACACAUGCAAGUCGAACGAGACCUUCGGGUCUAGUGGCGCACGGGUUCGUAACGCGUGGGAACCUGCCCUUAGGUUCGGAAUAACUCCCCGAAAGGGGUGCUAAUACCGGAUAAUGUCUUCGGACCAAAGAUUUAUCGCCUUUGGAUGGGCCCGCGUUGGAUUAGCUAGUUGGUAGGGUAAAAGCCUACCAAGGCGACGAUCCAUAGCUGGUCUGAGAGGAUGAUCAGCCACACUGGGACUGAGACACGGCCCAGACUCCUACGGGAGGCAGCAGUGGGGAAUAUUGGAAAAUGGGCGAAAGCAUGAUCCAGCAAUGCCGCGUGAGUGAUGAAGGCCUUAGGGUUGUAAAGCUCUUUUAACCGGGAUGAUAAUGACAGUACCGGGAGAAUAAGCACCGGCUAACUACGUG
RNAcentral lists this ribosomal RNA (433 nucleotides) under uncultured bacterium. RNAcentral describes it as "partial 16S ribosomal RNA". It matches the Rfam family "Bacterial small subunit ribosomal RNA", at positions 29 to 507 of the family's 1533-position model. The record is from RNAcentral.